GACGAACGCUGGCGGCGUGCCUAAUACAUGCAAGUCGAGCGGAUUGAUGGGAGCUUGCUCCCUAAUAUCAGCGGCGGACGGGUGAGUAACACGUGGGCAACCUGCCUGUAAGACUGGGAUAACUUCGGGAAACCGGAGCUAAUACCGGAUAAUCCAUUCCCUCUCAUGAGGGAAUGCUGAAAGAUGGCAUCACGCUAUCACUUACAGAUGGGCCCGCGGCGCAUUAGCUAGUUGGUGAGGUAACGGCUCACCAAGGCAACGAUGCGUAGCCGACCUGAGAGGGUGAUCGGCCACACUGGGACUGAGACACGGCCCAGACUCCUACGGGAGGCAGCAGUAGGGAAUCUUCCGCAAUGGACGAAAGUCUGACGGAGCAACGCCGCGUGAGUGAUGAAGGCCUUCGGGUCGUAAAGCUCUGUUUUUAGGGAAGAACAAGUACCGGAGUAACUGCCGGUACCUUGACGGUACCUAACCAGAAAGCCACGGCUAACUACGUGCCAGCAGCCGCGGUAAUACGUANGUGGCAAGCGUUUGU
Molecule: ribosomal RNA, 535 nt
Filed under: uncultured soil bacterium
Lineage: Bacteria
Description: bacterial SSU rRNA
Rfam family: Bacterial small subunit ribosomal RNA
Source: RNAcentral